CCUACGGGUGGCAGCAGUGGGGAAUAUUGGGCAAUGGGCGCAAGCCUUACCCAGCAAUACCGCGUGAGUGAAGAAGGUCUUCGGAUUGUAAAGCUCUUUGAUCAGGGACGAACAAAUGACGGUACCUGAAGACCAAGCCCCGGCUAACUACGUGCCAGCAGCCGCGGUAAAACGUAGGGGGCGAGCGUUGUCCCGGAUGACUGGGAGUAAAGGGUGCGUAGGCGGGAUUAUAAGUUAGAAGGGGAAUACCCAGGGCUUAACUGGGGUGCGGCUUCUAAAACUGGUGAGCUUGAGUGCGGGAGAGGUUAAUGGAAUUCCUAGUGUAGCGGUGGAAUGCGUAGAUAUUAGGAGGAACACCAGAGGCGAAGGCGAUUAACUGGACCGUAACUGACGCUGAGGCACGAAAGUGUGGGUAGCAAACAGGAUUAGAUACCCUGGUAGUC
Molecule: ribosomal RNA, 443 nt
Filed under: uncultured bacterium
Lineage: Bacteria
Description: partial 16S ribosomal RNA
Rfam family: Bacterial small subunit ribosomal RNA
Source: RNAcentral